UACGUAGGGUGCAAGCGUUGUCCGGAAUUAUUGGGCGUAAAGAGCGUGUAGGCGGCCACGCAGGUCCGUUGUGAAAACUGGAGGCUCAACCUCCAGCUGUCGACGGAAACCGUGUGGCUAGAGUCCGGAAGAGGAGAGUGGAAUUCCUGGUGUAGCGGUGAAAUGCGCAGAUAUCAGGAAGAACACCAAUGGCGAAGGCAGCUCUCUGGGACGGUACUGACGCUGAGACGCGAAAGCGUGGGGAGCGAACAGG
This 253-nucleotide ribosomal RNA is filed under the name uncultured bacterium. RNAcentral describes it as "partial 16S ribosomal RNA". It matches the Rfam family "Bacterial small subunit ribosomal RNA", at positions 524 to 776 of the family's 1533-position model. The record is from RNAcentral.